UGUUAUACAAGUGGCCUUUUAGGGAAGGCUCCACUGUUGCCCUAUUAUCUGUUCCUUCAGAAAUAAUGUUUUAUUCAGCGGAAAUUAGAAACGGUUACUUCGGGAAAUUACGUCAGGUAAUAUACCAACUACCAACAACUAACUUGAAGGAAAGAAGUGGGGCAGGAGAGCCAGAGGAAGGCAAAAAAUAACACGGAUGGACAACAUAAGAACAUGGACUGGCAUGGAUAUGACAGCAUGUACAAUGGCAGCUCGCGACCGUGAAAGAUAGAGGGUCAUUACAGGUCAACCUCUGAGUCAGAGAUGACACUCCCAGGUAUUCAGAUAGACACUAAAAAAACAUAUUUGUAGGUUAUAUACUAACAUAGUUUCAUCUCUCACUUUGACAAACAUGGAAAUGGGCUGGUCACAACAGUAGA
Long non-coding RNA from Aplysia californica (California sea hare), 419 nucleotides. RefSeq lists it as uncharacterized. The record is from RefSeq and is a predicted model, not a curated record. NCBI's taxonomy places the organism in Eukaryota, Metazoa, Mollusca, Gastropoda, Aplysiida, Aplysiidae. The transcript is spliced from 2 exons.